RNAcentral lists this ribosomal RNA (266 nucleotides) under uncultured bacterium. RNAcentral describes it as "partial 16S ribosomal RNA". It matches the Rfam family "Bacterial small subunit ribosomal RNA", at positions 88 to 354 of the family's 1533-position model. The record is from RNAcentral.
CCGGCGACCGGCGCACGGGUGAGUAACACGUAUGGAACCUGCCCGCAGCAGGGGGAUAAGCGGAAGAAAUUCCGUCUAAUACCGCGUAACAACGUUGGGAGGCAUCUCCCGAUGUUUAAAGAUUUAUCGGCUGCGGAUGGCCAUGCGGCGCAUUAGCUAGUCGGCGGGGUAACGGCCCACCGAGGCGACGAUGCGUAGGGGUUCUGAGAGGAAGGCCCCCCACACUGGUACUGAGACACGGACCAGACUCCUACGGAAGGCAGCAG